ACCUGGUUGAUCCUGCCAGUAGUCAUAUGCUUGUCUCAAAGAUUAAGCCAUGCAUGUUUAAGUUCACGUCACGAUUAAGAACGGGCGAAACCGCGAAUGGCUCAGGAACCGGACCUAAUCCUCGAGACCGUAUUCCUCCACGGAGGAAAGUGGAUAACUGUGGUAAUUCUAGAGCUAAUACAUGCAACUAAAGUCUCGAUCUUCGUUCGGUAGCUGUAUUGAGUGGUUGAUUUUGCUUGCGCGUGCCAUCGUUCGUUUUUUCGAGUAGUACGAACUUCUUUUGUUAGUAGUUUUGUAUUAUCCGUUAACGAUACGGCGCGCACGUAUCGUUAUCUAUCUGCUCWUUACUCUCCUCCGUACGACGCCUUUGAUCGCGGCGCAACAUAUUAGACUGAGACCGAUGCGUUUUGUUGGUCGUCGAUCGAAGUGAUUAACGCACGCACGAACGCAUGCACGCACGCAAUUAGGCAGUCGGCGUCCAUACUCACGCGAACAUAGCCGAAAAAUGAGGCGCGCACACACCUUCGCCACGUUGUCGAUUACGUACGAAAUACUACUUAUAAUAAUAACAAUUCAGAAAAACCACUUUGUAAACGUGUAGAGAGGAUAAAACACGGUGUUGUUUCUUUCUCGUUGCUGCCCGUCCCUGCUUGGUAGGUAGCUGUUUUGUUUGUUUGUUUUGUUGUGUUUUGUCGAUAAUGUGGUCGUUAAUGUUGACGUUUGUCGUUGCGUUGUCUUCUAGUCGUCUUUUUGUAUUCGCUUUUUGUGUUUUGGUGGUUGUUGCCUUCUUUUGCGUGAGCUACGUUGCUGUUGUUGUUGUUGUUGUUCGCUUUUCGACGUAUCCGACGCGCUUGCUUUUGGUGACUCUGGAUAACAUAAUUGUCGAUCGCUAUUGGUCAUUUUUUUGUUUGAACCUAGCGACGGGUCCCUCGAGGGUCCGCCCUAUCAACUGUCGACGGUCAGAUAAUUGCCUACCGUGGUUACAACGGGUAACGGGGAAUCGGGGUUCGAUUCCGGAGAGGGAGCAUGCGAAACGGCUACCACAUCCAAGGAAGGCAGCAGGCGCGCAAAUUACCCACUCCCGGCACGGGGAGGUAGUGACGAAAAAUAACGACGCGGGACUCUGUCGAGGCCCCGCGAUCGGAAUGGGUACACUUUAAAUCGGUUAACGAGUAUCAACCGGAGGGCAAGUCUGGUGCCAGCAGCCGCGGUAAUUCCAGCUCCGGUAGCGUAUAUUAAACUUGUUGCGGUUAAAAAGCUCGUAGUCGGAACUCGGGUCUAAAAAAAAAACGUAGUAAAAUACGUUUCGGGGCGUCGGCGCCGUCGUUCGAGUCCGAAUUUCGGUUGUUUUAUCCGUUCGCACACCCGGCCCUAUCCGCCGGUACGAACGAGGGAAAAAGUCAUUCGUUCAUAUUUGUCUGAUUAGUAUUUAUGGUUUUGAUAAUAUUUUAGUUUGUUUUUAUUUUUUCCGGAUUUUGUUUGUGUUCUUUGGUUCCAUGUUGAUGACGAUAUCAAUCUCACUGACACAAUUAAUGAAUCAAUCAAUUCCAUAUAUAUAAUUAUAUCUAGAUAAUCGAGGUCUACAUUGAACUUUUCAGAUGAGAAAAAAAAACGUUUGGUAAACGAAUUCGCGUCGUGCACCCUCUUUCGAUUCCUCUGAGGGUGCUCUUUAUCGAGUGUCCGAAGCGGCCGGUAUGUUCACUUUGAAAAAAUUAGAGUGCUCAGAGCGAGCUAUGCUAGGCUUGCAUACGAUAAGCAUGGAAUGAUAGAAAAGGGCCUCGUCUACGUCUAUCGGUCUCCGUUUACGACGAGGCAAUGAUCGAAGGGAGCGGUCGGGGCCACUCGUAUUGCGACGUUAGAGGUGAAAUUCUUGGAUCGUCGCAAGACGCACUGCAGCGAUGGCGUGUGGCAAGCAUGUCUUCCUCGAUCAAGAGCGAAAGUCGGAGGUUCGAAGACGAUCAGAUACCGUCGUAGUUCCGACCGUAAACGAUGCCGACUGGCGAUCCGCCGGCGUUCGCUUCGAUGACCCGGCGGGUACCCUGCGGGAAACCAGAGUUGGUUCCGGGGGGAGUAUGGUUGCAAAAUCGAAACUUAAAGGAAUUGACGGAAGGGCACCACCAGGAGUGGAGCCUGCGGCUUAAUUUGACUCAACACGGGAAAACUCACCCGGUCCGGACACCGGUAGGAUUGACAGAUCGAUAGCUCUUUCUCGAUUCGAUGGAUGGUGGUGCAUGGCCGUUCUUAGUUGGUGGAGCGAUCCGUCUGGUUGAUUCCGAUAACGAACGAGACUCCGGCCUGCUAACUAGCGCGCUGAUUAGUGCUAGAUAUAUACAAUAUUAUUCUAUAUAUAUAUAUAUUUCGCGACGAUGACAACGCGACGGCGGCGGCGCGCAACGACAGCAACCACAAAAGCAGCAACAGCAACAUCGAUGGCAUAUCGACUAUAACGAUAGCAUCAUCGUUUGUCGUUUGGUCGUUUUGUUUUUGUUUGUUUUUGUUUGAUUUGUUUGCUUGGUUUGUUGGUUGGUUGUUCGUUUGUCGUUGUUCGUUUGUUAUUUUGUUGCGUGAUUUUAUGUGUGUAUGUAUGUUUAAAGGCGUAUAUACGCGGCCAGUCGGUUGCUUCCUGCACUUCUUAGAGGGACGGGUGGCAGAAAGCCACACGAGGCGGAGCGAUAACAGGUCUGUGAUGCCCUUAGAUGUCCGGGGCUGCACGCGCGCUACACUGGAGUUAUCAGCGGGCAAUUUCGCCCAGCCCGAAAGGGUUGGGUAACCUCUCAACCAACUUCCGUGAUAGGGAUCGGGGCCUGUAAUUGACCCCGUGAACGAGGAAUUCCCGGUAGGCGCGGGUCAACAGCCCGCGUCGAUCACGUCCCUGCCCUUUGUACACACCGCCCGUCGCUACUACCGAUCGAACGGUCCGGUGAGGUCCUCGGAUCUGGCCGACGAUGCCGACAUUGUCUAUAUUCGAAGCUUUAAUGUCUUUUUCGUACCCUACUAACUAACUGCUCGUUUAYGUUACCGAUCACGUUCACCGUUCACGUUCAUCUUUUCGUUCGUUUCAACAUAUACGGCGCUACUACUACUACUACGAUGACGACGGUAAAUCGAAAUAUUUGGGUUUUUUCGUUUUGGUCGAAUAUACACGCGCGGCGACGGUUUCACGCUUUUGCGAUGACGACGACGACGGCAUAUUAACCACUAACUGCAACAUUGUGUUGUAGUUCGGUUUGUUGUUGUUGUUAUUGUUGUUUCGGUUGUUGUCGUCGUCGUAUUUGGUUUUCGYCAUGAAUUAUUUCUUUUUUUUUGGGUCGUCAUCAUCAUCGUUGCGUUGCGUUGCGUUGCCUUGUCGUAUCGUAUGUUAUGGAAUCGAAUUCGAAUUGUAUCGUAUCGUAUYGUAUCGUGUGGCUGUUUAGUUUACGUAAWGRCUUUCAGCCMCUUCCGUAUAAAGACGUCGUCGUCUGAUGGCCCGGAGAAGACGACCGAACCCGAUCGUUUAGAGGAAGUAAAAGUCGUAACAAGGUUUCCGUAGGUGAACCUGCGGAAGGAUCAUUA
Molecule: ribosomal RNA, 3552 nt
Filed under: Grimpoteuthis sp. LA-2022
Lineage: Eukaryota; Metazoa; Mollusca; Cephalopoda; Octopoda; Grimpoteuthidae
Description: partial small subunit ribosomal RNA
Source: RNAcentral